RNAcentral lists this ribosomal RNA (368 nucleotides) under uncultured bacterium. Its description in RNAcentral is "partial 16S ribosomal RNA". It matches the Rfam family "Bacterial small subunit ribosomal RNA", at positions 355 to 740 of the family's 1533-position model. The record is from RNAcentral.
UGGGGAAUAUUGCACAAUGGGCGAAAGCCUGAUGCAGCAACGCCGCGUGAGUGAUGAAGGUCUUCGGAUUGUAAAGCUCUGUCUUUUGGGACGAUAAUGACGGUACCAAAGGAGGAAGCCACGGCUAACUACGUGCCAGCAGCCGCGGUAAUACGUAGGUGGCGAGCGUUGUCCGGAUUUACUGGGCGUAAAGGGUGCGUAGGCGGAUGUUUAAGUGAGAUGUGAAAUACCCGGGCUUAACUUGGGUGCUGCAUUUCAAACUGGAUAUCUAGAGUGCAGGAGAGGAGAAUGGAAUUCCUAGUGUAGCGGUGAAAUGCGUAGAGAUUAGGAAGAACACCAGUGGCGAAGGCGAUUCUCUGGACUGUAAU